This 73-nucleotide transfer RNA is filed under the name Mesocricetus auratus (golden hamster). It matches the Rfam family "tRNA". Rfam says of the family: Transfer RNA (tRNA) molecules are approximately 80 nucleotides in length. Their secondary structure includes four short double-helical elements and three loops (D, anti-codon, and T loops). Lineage: Eukaryota; Metazoa; Chordata; Mammalia; Rodentia; Cricetidae. The record is from Rfam by way of RNAcentral.
AAAGAAGUGGCUCAAUGGUUAAGAGCCCUGAACGCUCUUGUAGAGGACCUGGGUUCAAUUCCCAGCACCUAUA